AUGCUGAGCUCCAGGGAAUGUCAGGGAGAUGCCAGCAGAGCAGAGCCAGGGUUAUUUGGGGAACAGGACAGUCAGAAAUCAAGCUGGAGCCGUUUCACAAUGCCAGAGAGGCUCGGGAUUUGUUUACAGAGCCCGAUGACAGCGGCUCAGCGCCGAGGGAAAAUGAGGAAUGAUGCAAGAAGGCAGGAAUGGACAAUGGGAGACGGCAGCAUGGAAUCCUCACGGAAAAAAACUCUUCUGAGCGCUCAUAAAACAUCCCCGGAGACAAGAGAGCUGGGAGAGAGGAGCUUUCCGGGCUGUCCCAAACAGCAGGAAUGGCCUGAACUUCAUGGAUCUCCUGACCAAGGCCUUUGGGAGUUCUGACCAAGACAUGUUUCCUUUAAGAGGAGGGAAUUUGAAGACUUAAAAACUUUCUUGCCAUGAAUCUGACCCAAACCAGCUGCCAGGUAUUUGCUGUGCACGGAGAGAGCGUGUGGAGGUGGAAUCCCCGUCCCUGGAGGUGUCCGAGGAGCUCCUGGGCUGGUGACAAGGUGGGGAUUGGGCACAGCUUGGACCCCAUGAUCCUGGAGGGCUUUUCCAACCUCAGAGAUUUUGGGAUUCUGUUGCUGUACCUCAGGUGUUGAUGCUGGACCUUCAUCCAGGGCUUCCCACAGCGUGGAUCUCAUGGCAGCGAUCCCAAAUGUUCCGUUUGGAAAAAAAAGAAGAAAUUUGGGCCAGGCCAGGUCCCAAAUCCCUCUCCUGAGGCAGCUGAGUAGAUUCCAGCCCUGCCAGCAUUCCAAUCACCUCCUUGCCCCUGUUCAAGGAGCUCCAGCAGCUCCGUGUGCGCCCAGGGAAGGACAGACACGUGCUGGGAUGACGCGAUGGGACAUCUGAGAUGGCCAAAAAGGACGAGUUUAUCUCUGCCAAGGCUCUGGGGUGCUCUGCUGUACGGAAUGGGAUUCCUGAGUGUGGAAAUAGAUGGAUUAAUGCUUCACCAGGCAUCCUGGCAGGCUUGGGUGAGGUUUUGGGUGGAUGUGUUUAAUAAUUUCUCUUUAACCCUAAACCAGUCACGUCUUGGAGAGGGACUUUGGACAAGGGGAAUGGCCUGAGGAUGAAGGAGGGCAGGGUUAGAUAGGAUAUAAGGGAGAAAUUCCUCCCUGUGAGGGUGGGAAAGCCCAGGAAUAGAAUUCCAGAGAAGCUGUGGCUGCCCCUGGAUCCAUGGAAGUGUCCAAGGCCAGGUUGGAGCACCCUGGGAUAGUGGGAAGUGUUCCUGCCCAUGGCAGGGGUGGAAUGGGAUGAGCUUUAAGGUCCCUUCUAACCCAACCCAGUUGGGGAUUCCAUGGUUCCACAUCUCCCACAGGCUUUUAAACCCUGGAGAAACAAACUGCCUUUAUCCUGGCUUUUUUUACCUCUGGCAAGGACAAACUGCUCCAUUUCCAUAAAAAACUGCUACAAAAUUCCUCUUCACCUCCAAUCUCGAUUUGUGAUUAACAGCUCAGCUCUCUGGCCUGCAACCGCUUUUCCUCUCCCAAUGUUGCCGGAAGACUCCUGGAAAAUCCCUCCACGGCCUGGGAAGAAGAGCAGGCAACAUUGACACCUGCUGUCGGGAAUUUUAAUAGCCACACACUCCAGCAGAGCCGAGAGCAUGAAAACAGCCAAUAAAAACCCAAGUUGAAACA
This 1658-nucleotide long non-coding RNA is filed under the name Cyanistes caeruleus (blue tit). Its description in RNAcentral is "lncRNA (ENSCCEG00000017781.1)". The record is from RNAcentral. Lineage: Eukaryota; Metazoa; Chordata; Aves; Passeriformes; Paridae.